RNAcentral lists this ribosomal RNA (468 nucleotides) under uncultured bacterium. RNAcentral describes it as "partial 16S ribosomal RNA". It matches the Rfam family "Bacterial small subunit ribosomal RNA", at positions 28 to 507 of the family's 1533-position model. The record is from RNAcentral.
GACGAACGCUGGCGGCGUGCUUAACACAUGCAAGUCGAACGGAAAGGCCCUGCUUUUGUGGGGUGCUCGAGUGGCGAACGGGUGAGUAACACGUGAGUAACCUGCCCUUGGCUUUGGGAUAACUUCAGGAAACUGGGGCUAAUACCGGAUAGGAGCUCCUGCUGCAUGGUGGGGGUUGGAAAGUUUCGGCGGUUGGGGAUGGACUCGCGGCUUAUCAGCUUGUUGGUGGGGUAGUGGCUUACCAAGGCUUUGACGGGUAGCCGGCCUGAGAGGGUGACCGGCCACAUUGGGACUGAGAUACGGCCCAGGCUCCUACGGGAGGCAGCAGUGGGGAAUAUUGCACAAUGGGCGGAAGCCUGAUGCAGCAACGCCGCGUGCGGGAUGACGGCCUUCGGGUUGUAACCCGCUUUCGCCUGUGACGAAGCGUGAGUGACGGUAAUGGGUAAAGAAGCACCGGCUAACUACGUG